CCUUCGUUCUUCUUCAUUCUUCUCCUAUGGUGAACUCUUCUUCAACCUGUGAUGAGCUCUGUACUUGCCUUUUUUUCCUUUUGUUCUUCAUACGGUACCUUUUUUUUUUUUUUCUUCUUCUGUUUUUUCACUCUUCUUCAACUUACGGUGAUAGAUUUAUAUCUACCUUAUUACUACUUAAAUAUGACGCUAUUGAUUUAAAGAAAAUCUUGUUUUCUGUAUAAAUAUGAGGCUAUGAUUUUUUUUUUAAAUGUAUUACUGUCUACCAUGUUCUUUGGAAAACCAGAUUGGAUUUGUAAAACCAGAUUGGAUGAAUAUGCUUUUAGCCUUAUAUGCAACUCUUUAUUGCUGCCUAAUGCCUUCCAUUUCUUUGGAAAAACGAGAUUGGAUUUAGUAUUAUGGCUUCUGGGCUUAGCUUAUUUUGCAGCUCUUUAUUUAAUUUUUUUUAAUGAAUAUUUGUUUUGUCUAAUGUGUAUCAUUGCAUUUACAGACAUUACACAUUAAAGUAUUAGACAAAGAGACAAAGUUGUCAUCUCUGGAAACAGUUGGUGGUAGUAGUGGGGCUGAAGAUACAAGUAUUGCAUAAUCAAUGAAUGAGCCAAGCAAGGAUCCAAAAGGGAGAGCUAAAUCAGAUGAUCCUGGAUGGAAAUACGGGUACUGACCUGACUUAACAGACAAAAAUUGAAUUAAGUGUACCCUUUGUGGAAAGGAUGUCAAGGGAGGAAUAAAUCGAUUGAAGCAAUAUUUUAUUGGUGGCUAUGGAGAUGUAGCUAAGUGUGUAAAAUCAACGGAAGCAAUUGCUAAAUAGAUGAGAGAUGCAAUCUUGAAGAACAAGAGGAAGAGGACUCUUGGAUGUUUGGAUGAAAUGGGGCCAACAACUUCAACCAAUUCCUUAAAACUCCUUAAUUUUAAAGCAUUAAAUGGAACACCGCUUUUAUAAGCCCAUCUUGCAAACCGCUUCUUCAGGAGUCUUCCUCACAUGCUUAUCCAUGGGACCCCUUACUUGUUGUUUAGGUUGUGUCUGAAUGAUAGCUCUAUUUCUUCUUGAAGUUGUUCCAGAGAUAGGGGUAGGACGAGACCCCCAAAUCGGAUAUUGUAUUCUUUUGUGGUUCCAUUACUUCCAUAGGUGAAAUUCUAUAUCCAUCACUAACAUCCAAAUCAUCCAAACUCUAAGGUUCCUCUUCCUCUUGUUCUUUAAGAUUGCAUCUCUUAUCUCCAUGGCCACCAAUAAAUUGUUGCUUUAAUCGUUUUAUUCCUCCCUUAACAUCCUUCCCAUAAAGGGUACACUUAAUCCAAUUUUUGUUUGUUAAGUUAGGCCAGUAUCCGUAUUUCCAUCCAGGAUCAUUUGAUUUAGCUCCCCCUUUUGGAUCCUUGCUUGGAUCAUUCAUUGAUUGUACAAUACUUGUGUUUUCAGCCCCACUGCUACCACCAACUGUUUCCAUUGAUGAAAACUUGAUCUCUUUGUCUAAUACUUUAAUGUGUAAUGUCUACAACUGCAAUGAUACACAUUAGACAAAACAGAUAUUCAUUUAAAAAAAUUAAAUAAAUAGCUGUAGAAUAAGCUAAGCCCAUAAGCCAUUAUACUAUAUCCAAUCUUGUUUUUCCAAAGAAAUGGAAGGCACUAGGCAGUAGUAAAGAGUUGUAUAUAAGGCUAUAAGUAUAUUCAUCCAAUCUGGUUUUUCAAAGAACAUGGCAGGCAAUAAUAUAUUUAAAAAAAAUAAAUAAAAGAAAAUCAGUGGCCUCAUAUUUAUACAGAAAACAAGAUUUUCUUUAAACCAAUAGCCUCAUAUUUAUGUUGUGAUUGGUUCACUCUUCACUAAUAUUAAGAACCAAACCAAAACAACAUAUUGAAUUAAGAAAAGAACCAUAGGAAUGAUAGAAGAAGGAUGAAGAAGAAAGAAGGGAGAA
This is a long non-coding RNA of Macadamia integrifolia, 1908 nucleotides long. RefSeq lists it as uncharacterized. The transcript is spliced from 2 exons. Lineage: Eukaryota; Viridiplantae; Streptophyta; Magnoliopsida; Proteales; Proteaceae. The record is from RefSeq and is a predicted model, not a curated record.